GAUGAACGCUAGCUACAGGCUUAACACAUGCAGGUCGAGGGGAAACGAUGAGAGAGCUUGCUCUCUUAGGCGUCGACCGGCGCACGGGUGAGUAACGCGUAUCCAACCUACCCAUUACAGGGGGAUAACCUUGCGAAAGUAAGACUAAUACCCCAUGGCAUUUUAUGGUGGCAUCAUUAUAGGAUUAAAGAUUUAUUGGUAAUGGAUGGGGAUGCGUCUGAUUAGCUUGUUGGCGGGGUAACGGCCCACCAAGGCAACGAUCAGUAGGGGUUCUGAGAGGAAGGUCCCCCACAUUGGAACUGAGACACGGUCCAAACUCCUACGGGAGGCAGCAGUGAGGAAUAUUGGUCAAUGGGCGAGAGCUUGAACCAGCCAAGUAGCGUGCAGGAUGACGGCCCUAUGGGUUGUAAACUGCUUUUAUAGGGGAAUAAAGUGAGCUACGUGUAGUUUAUUGCAUGUACCCUAUGAAUAAGGACCGGCUAAUUCCGUG
Molecule: ribosomal RNA, 490 nt
Filed under: uncultured bacterium
Lineage: Bacteria
Description: partial 16S ribosomal RNA
Rfam family: Bacterial small subunit ribosomal RNA
Source: RNAcentral